UACGAAGGGGGCUAGCGUUGUUCGGAAUUACUGGGCGUAAAGCGCACGUAGGCGGAUAUUUAAGUCGGGGGUGAAAUCCAGGGGCUCAACCCCGGAACUGCCUUCGAUACUGGGUAUCUUGAGUUCGGAAGAGGUGAGUGGAAUUGCGAGUGUAGAGGUGAAAUUCGUAGAUAUUCGCAGGAACACCAGUGGCGAAGGCGGCUCACUGGUCCGAUACUGACGCUGAGGUGCGAAAGCGUGGGGAGCAAACAGG
This 253-nucleotide ribosomal RNA is filed under the name uncultured bacterium. RNAcentral describes it as "partial 16S ribosomal RNA". It matches the Rfam family "Bacterial small subunit ribosomal RNA", at positions 524 to 776 of the family's 1533-position model. The record is from RNAcentral.